UACGUAGGGGGCAAGCGUUGUCCGGAAUUAUUGGGCGUAAAGAGCGUGUAGGCGGUCCGGUAAGUCAGCUGUGAAAGUCAAGGGCUCAACCCUUGAAAGCCGGUUGAUACUGUCGGGCUAGAGUCCGGAAGAGGCGAGUGGAAUUCCCGGUGUAGCGGUGAAAUUCGUAGAUAUCGGGAGGAACACCAGUGGCGAAGGCGACUACCUGGCCCAUUCUUGACGCUGAGGCGCGAAAGCUAGGGGAGCGAACGGG
RNAcentral lists this ribosomal RNA (253 nucleotides) under uncultured bacterium. Its description in RNAcentral is "partial 16S ribosomal RNA". It matches the Rfam family "Bacterial small subunit ribosomal RNA", at positions 524 to 776 of the family's 1533-position model. The record is from RNAcentral.